CGUCAUCACUCCUCGCAAUGACAUGGUGGGGAUGGAUAAGGCGAUGUGGCGCACAAUCUCGCUCUCUCGCCGCUAGUCCCUAGCUAUGGCAGCGCUAUCGGCAGUGACCACAUUCCAUCACACGCGCAGCUGCGAUCAAGCUCCCGCGAUCAAUCUGGGCGUCGUGAGGUGCGUAACACUGGCCAGGAUUGUAAGGUGGAGAUUUUUAGGGUGUGACGCUGCGAGCUCCUCGUCCCAGCGCUUCUUCCAUCCUCCGCAUUGCAGUAUUGCGUGCGCAGCGGCGGUCGCUGCUGGAGAUGUUCCAACUGUGGCCGAUACCAAGUCGGCAUUCCUCAAGGCUUUCCGGAAGCCGAUACCCAGCAUUUACAACAACGUCUUGCAGGAGCUCCUCGUCCAGCAGCACUUGAUGCGAUACAACGCCACUUACAAGUACGAUGCGGUGUUUGCUCUCGGCUUUGUGACUGUCUACGACCAGCUCAUGGACGGCUACCCGAACGCGCAAGACAGCGAAGCCAUCUUCAAGGCCUACAUCGAAGCUUUGGGAGAAGACCCCGAUCAGUACAGGAAAGACGCUAAAAAGCUCGAGGAAUGGGCAUCCUCACAGACGGCUUCGUCCCUCGCGUCUUUUAACUCGGGCGACGGCGACGUUGAGGAGGUCCUCAAGGAUAUCGCACAGCGCGCCGCCGGGAAGACGAGCUUUCACUACAGCCGUUUCUUUGCGGUCGGUUUGUUCCGGCUGGUGGAACGGGCAAACGCUUCCGAUCCGGCCGUCUUGGAGAAGCUCUGCAAUGCGCUGAACGUGAGCAAGAUGAGCGUGGAUAGAGACCUGGACGUGUACCGAAAUCUCUUGACCAAGCUCUCGCAGGCCAAGGACCUGCUCAAGGAGUACAUUGACAGAGAAAAGAAGAAGAGCGCGGAGAGGGAAGCAUCCAAAACCAGUGAACCAGUAAACAAAUGAACGCUACGGUUUUGUUAGAGCUCUCGAGCCCUAUGUAGUUUGCACGAUCACUCUUGUGUAAUGGGUAAAGAGAGUUAUAGCUUCGUACGUAGGAAUACUGUCCAGGACCGUCUCUCGCGGUAAGCCUGUUAGAGAAGAUCCUAGUGAAGGAAAAAAAAAAGGUGUUCUCUAUCGAAAGGGCCACGCCAAAGUUCAUGCA
Molecule: RNA transcript, 1157 nt
Organism: Selaginella moellendorffii
Lineage: Eukaryota; Viridiplantae; Streptophyta; Lycopodiopsida; Selaginellales; Selaginellaceae
Gene name: protein THYLAKOID FORMATION1, chloroplastic
Exons: 6
Source: RefSeq, a predicted model, not a curated record